UCCCUCAUCCCUACAUCAGCUUAUUGGAUGUUAUUAUUAGUCAGUUUCUGUAGCCAGCCAGGACAUUUCUGCUGAGAAGCUGCACACAGUCAGCCUUUUUCUGGCUCUAAUAGUCCCAAGAGGGUUUCUUUUUGCCCAUUUGGGGUUCUUUUCUUUCACUUUCGUUUUAUAUUUGUUUUAUUUUCGAGACAGCGUCUUUGUGUUUAGCCCAGGCUGGACUCAAAAUCCUAAUCCUACUUCCGCUGCCUGAGUGAUGGGACGACAUGUUUUAAAUUUGCCUGGAUGACUUGAAGUGAUGCUUCUAAUACUUCUCCACCCACAGAAAUUCUAAUUCACGUUAAGUCCGAUUUUUUUUUUCAAGUCACGGAAACUAUCUCUAACUGACCUGAAGAGAGCAGUGUGUUAGUAUUGAGAACGGAGUGGGUUCUAGGGUGCCGUAAAGAAUCCAAAGGGACUGAACGACUGUGAAGCUGCGCCAGCUCAGCCUCACAACCCUGAGGUCCACGCUGGUCUUGGCCGUGAGGCUGCUGAAGCAAUGGCAGGAAAACGUCAAGAAACACCUAGGAGGGGCUGGAGAGCUGGCUCAGUCUAGAAACUGCUUGGCAUUCAAGCUUCUGUAGAAAGCACUGGUGAUGAAGAAGAAGGAAGAAGAAGAGGAAGAAUAGGAGGAGGAGGAAGAGGAGGAGGAGGAGGAGGAGGAGGAGGAGGAGGAGGAAGAGGAGAAGCCAAACAACCAAAACAUCCUCUGGUGGAGGAUGAGUUUUGUUUCUUGUUUGUUUGCUUGCUUUUAAAAAUAUAUAUAUAUUUCAUUCAUUCAUCUAUUGCAGUUGCAUGUGGAAGUCAGAGGCCCGUUUGCUGAAGUCAGUUCUCUCCUUCUGUCUGGGUCCCCAGGUCAAGCUAAGGUGGCCAGGCUUGGCAGCAAGCGCUCUUCCCCAAGCCAUCUCACAAACCCCAAGUUGCUGUUUUGUUUUAAGUGUGGUUUGCCACAAGUGAUCAGAAUGCAGAGAUUAAGUGUCUAUGAAAAGCUCGGCCACAAAUGAGAUAUCUGUGUGACUCCACUUCCCUCCAAGGCCUGGGAACCAUCAUGGAAGAGGAGGUAGAAAGACUGUAAGAGCCACAGGUGAAGGAAGACUGGGGGGAAGCAACAUCUUCUAGAUAUGACAGGAUGGCUGCACUCGUGAACUUUCAGCAACUGUGGCUGCCUGAAUACGGCCUAUACAAGAUCAAACCAGUCGGCAUGCAGACGUAGAUGUGGGUGGGGCUCAGGAGCCCCCACCUCUAGCUGAGGAGCUAUUGACAGUUGUUGUCUUGGGAAGAUUUAGAGUCAGUUUUCUUUAAGGGCAUGGUCCCUAACAGGUCAUCACACUGCAGUGAAUAGCUCCAUACCCGUGGGUGUAUGGGCAGCACAAAUUAGACUCAGCGGGUUAUUCAAAAAGAACAAGACCAUAAAUUUGGGAGGGAGUAAGAUGGUGAGAGGUGGGUUGGGAAGGAACUGGGGAAGUCAAAAUAAAAGUGUAUGCAUGUAUGAAC
Long non-coding RNA from Myodes glareolus (Bank vole), 1530 nucleotides. RefSeq lists it as uncharacterized. Lineage: Eukaryota; Metazoa; Chordata; Mammalia; Rodentia; Cricetidae. The record is from RefSeq and is a predicted model, not a curated record.